RNAcentral lists this ribosomal RNA (297 nucleotides) under uncultured Pseudomonadota bacterium. Its description in RNAcentral is "uncultured proteobacterium partial 16S ribosomal RNA". It matches the Rfam family "Bacterial small subunit ribosomal RNA", at positions 29 to 351 of the family's 1533-position model. Lineage: Bacteria; Pseudomonadati; Pseudomonadota. The record is from RNAcentral.
AGCGAACGCUGGCGGCAGGCUUAACACAUGCAAGUCGAGCGGGCAUCUUCGGGUGUCAGCGGCGGACGGGUGAGUAACGCGUGGGAACGUGCCCUCUGGUCCGGAAUAACUCAGGGAAACUUGAGCUAAUACCGGAUACGCCCUUUUGGGGAAAGGCUUGCUGCCGGAGGAUCGGCCCGCGUCUGAUUAGCUAGUUGGUGAGGUAACGGCUCACCAAGGCGACGAUCAGUAGCUGGUCUGAGAGGAUGAUCAGCCACACUGGGACUGAGACACGGCCCAGACUCCUACGGGAGGCUG